This 717-nucleotide ribosomal RNA is filed under the name Thermococcus sp. enrichment culture. RNAcentral's name for it is "bacterial SSU rRNA". It matches the Rfam family "Archaeal small subunit ribosomal RNA", at positions 102 to 816 of the family's 1478-position model. The record is from RNAcentral. Lineage: Archaea; Methanobacteriati; Methanobacteriota; Thermococci; Thermococcales; Thermococcaceae.
CGGUAACCUACCCUCGGGAGGGGGAUAACCCCGGGAAACUGGGGCUAAUUCCCCAUAGGCCUGAGGUACUGGAAGGUCCUCAGGCCGAAAGGGACUUAUGUCCGCCCGAGGAUGGGCCGGCGGCCGAUUAGGUAGUUGGUGGGGUAAUGGCCCACCAAGCCGAAGAUCGGUACGGGCUGUGAGAGCAGGAGCCCGGAGAUGGACACUGAGACACGGGUCCAGGCCCUACGGGGCGCAGCAGGCGCGAAACCUCCGCAAUGCGGGAAACCGCGACGGGGGGACCCCGAGUGCCGUGGCAACGCCACGGCUUUUCCGGAGUGUAAAAAGCUCCGGGAAUAAGGGCUGGGCAAGGCCGGUGGCAGCCGCCGCGGUAAUACCGGCGGCCCGAGUGGUGGCCGCUAUUAUUGGGCCUAAAGCGUCCGUAGCCGGGCCCGUAAGUCCCUGGCGAAAUCCCACGGCUCAACCGUGGGGCUUGCUGGGGAUACUGCGGGUCUUGGGACCGGGAGAGGCGGGGGGUACCCCUGGGGUAGGGGUGAAAUCCUAUAAUCCCAGGGGGACCGCCAGUGGCGAAGGCGCCCCGCUGGAACGGGUCCGACGGUGAGGGACGAAGGCCAGGGGAGCAAACCGGAUUAGAUACCCGGGUAGUCCUGGCUGUAAAGGAUGCGGGCUAGGUGUCGGGUGAGCCUCGAGCUCGCCCGGUGCCGUAGGGAAGCCGUU